ACACUCCUACGGGAGGCAUCAGUGGGGAAUUUUGGACAAUGGGCGAAAGCCUGAUCCAGCAAUGCCGCGUGAGUGAAGAAGGCCUUCGGGUUGUAAAGCUCUUUUGUCAGGGAAGAAACGGUGAAAGCUAAUAUCUUUUGCUAAUGACGGUACCUGAAGAAUAAGCACCGGCUAACUACGUGCCAGCAGCCGCGGUAAUACGUAGGGUGCAAGCGUUAAUCGGAAUUACUGGGCGUAAAGCGUGCGCAGGCGGUUUUGUAAGUCUGAUGUGAAAUCCCCGGGCUCAACCUGGGAAUUGCAUUGGAGACUGCAAGGCUAGAAUCUGGCAGAGGGGGGUAGAAUUCCACGUGUAGCAGUGAAAUGCGUAGAUAUGUGGAGGAACACCGAUGGCGAAGGCAGCCCCCUGGGUCAAGAUUGACGCUCAUGCACGAAAGCGUGGGGAGCAAACAGGAUUAGAAACCCGAGUAGUCCCAU
Molecule: ribosomal RNA, 474 nt
Filed under: uncultured organism
Description: partial 16S ribosomal RNA
Rfam family: Bacterial small subunit ribosomal RNA
Source: RNAcentral